UACAGGGGCCUCGAGCGUUAGGCGGAAUCACUGGGCUUAAAGCGUGUGUAGGCGGACUUCUAAGUGCCUUGUGAAAUCCCACGGCUCACCCGUGGAACUGCUGGGCAUACUGGGAGUCUUGAGCCACCUAGGGGCGAGCGGAACAAAUGGUGGAGCGGUGAAAUGCGUAGAUAUCAUUUGGAACGCCAACGGAGAAAGCAGCUCGCUGGGGGUGUGCUGACGCUGAGACACGAAAGCCAGGGGAGCGAACGGG
This 253-nucleotide ribosomal RNA is filed under the name uncultured bacterium. RNAcentral describes it as "partial 16S ribosomal RNA". It matches the Rfam family "Bacterial small subunit ribosomal RNA", at positions 524 to 776 of the family's 1533-position model. The record is from RNAcentral.